This 339-nucleotide ribosomal RNA is filed under the name unidentified plant. RNAcentral's name for it is "eukaryotic LSU rRNA". The stretch from base 1 to 88 matches the Rfam family "5.8S ribosomal RNA", at positions 69 to 154 of the family's 154-position model. The record is from RNAcentral. Lineage: Eukaryota; Viridiplantae; Streptophyta.
GAAUUGCAGAAUCCCGUGAACCAUCGAGUCUUUGAACGCAAGUUGCGCCCCAAGCCAUUAGGCCGAGGGCACGCCUGCCUGGGUGUCACGCAUCGUCGCCCCCUCCGCCCUUCAGCCCAACAAAAAGCUGAGGGCGGUGCUGGGACGGAAAAUGGCCUCCCGUAGGCUUCCCCGCUUGCGGUUGGCCCAAACGCGAGUCCUCGGCAACGAACGGCGCCGUGACGAUCGGUGGUAAUGCUCCUAGCGUGCCUUGUCUCCAGUCGCGCGCGCCCGUUGUCCGUGCGGACCCCCUCGGACCCUUUUGUGCAUCGCUCGAACGAUGCUCGCAUCGCGACCCCA